This 257-nucleotide ribosomal RNA is filed under the name uncultured bacterium. RNAcentral describes it as "partial 16S ribosomal RNA". It matches the Rfam family "Bacterial small subunit ribosomal RNA", at positions 333 to 607 of the family's 1533-position model. The record is from RNAcentral.
GAUGCACUACGGGACGCAGCAGUGGGGAAUAUUGCACAAUGGGGGAAACCCUGAUGCAGCGACGCCGCGUGGGUGACGAAGUAUUUCGGUAUGUAAAGCCCUAUCAGCAGGGAAGAAGAUGACAGUACCUGACUAAGAAGCCCCGGCUAACUACGUGCCAGCAGCCGCGGUAAUACGUAGGGGGCAAGCGUUAUCCGGAUUUACUGGGUGUAAAGGGAGCGUAGGGGGCAUGGCAAGCCAGAAGUGAAAACCCGGGG